RNAcentral lists this long non-coding RNA (2008 nucleotides) under Marmota monax (woodchuck). Lineage: Eukaryota; Metazoa; Chordata; Mammalia; Rodentia; Sciuridae. The record is from RNAcentral.
CCUGCAGCGGUGGGUAUGAAUACACUCUCCAUCACAGGUUCUGUCUGCUUACCUCCCAAACGCCUUGCCUUGCAGCCCACCCCCGCCAAGUCUGUGUACCAGAACAGCCUCCUUUCAGCCUUCUCCCUCUCCCUCAAUCCCUUCUGCUUCACUUUCUUUCCCUUGUCCCAGGACGUUUUCUCCUGUGGGGUCCUUGGCUUGUAUAACAGCAUCAAAAACAAACAUUUGUUUGUUUGUUCAUUCAUCCAAUAUUUGGUGUCAGGUGCUGAGAGUACAAGAACGAGCAGAGCAAAGCCAGGCACGAUUCCUGACCUCCAGCAACUUCCAUUCUGACCGAAGACUGUCAUUACAGAACUAACUGCAUGUAAGUGUAAAAUGGCAACCAUGACAAAGUGGCAAUGGGACAGGAGUCCAGAGGAACUGUUGACCCAGCUGAAAUCUGAGGGACAAAGGGAACUUACCCUGGGAAAGGGAGGACACUCCAAGCCACAAGGAAUCACCAGAUGGCAUUCCAAAGUGGCUGUCCCAUCUUGCAUUCCCACCAGCAAUGGAUAAGAGUUCUUGUUUCAUAUUCUCAUGAGCAUUUGGUGUUGUCAGUGUUCUGGAUUUUGGCCAUUCUAAUAGGUGUAUAAUUAACUAGCUUUUUAUUGAAAAGAGAUGAAUCCCUAAAAGGAUGGAUUUUCUUCCUUCCUUCCUUCUUUCCUCAUUCCCUCCCUCCCUCCUCUCUUUCUCUUUUUCCUUUUUGUACCAGGGAUUGAACCUAGGGCGCUUUACCACUGAGCUACAUCCCCAGCCCCUUUUAUAUUUUAUUUUGAGACAGUCUGGCUAAGUUGCUAAGGUUGCUGAACUUGGUCUUGAACUUGAGAUCCUCCUGCCUCAAUUUGGGAUUAGGGGUAUGUGCCACUGUGCUGGGCCUGGGUGAAUUUUCACAAAGUAAGCACACCUGUGUAACAAGGACCUAGAUUAAAAAACAACAUGCACCCCAGAAGCCACUUCUGGUUGUGAUCUCCCAAGAUCAGCACUCUGCCAUAGAAGAGUUUUGUUGGGGUGUGAUCUUUAUGGAAGUGAGACCAUACAGUGUGUGUUUUCAAAUCUUUUCACUCAACUUUGCAUUUAUGAAAUUGAUCUUCAUUGUUAAGAGUCAUAGUGCACUCCCUCUUGUUGCUAUGACAUAAGCAUUUUUAUUUGCAUGUACCACUACUUAUUUAUCCAUUCUCAUUUAUCUGAGUUGUGGCCAGUCAGGCAGUUACAAGUACUGCUACUAAGAACAUUUAUCUCAUUUGGUUGGCACAGAAUCUUAUUUCUGCUAGGAUAUGCCCAGGGGUGGGGUGAUCAUAAGGUAUGUUUAUGUUCAGCUUAAUGCUCUCUAUAGUAUGUGUUUUUAUUGUGGUAAAAUAUGCAUAAUAGAAGCUUUACCAGUCUCCAAAACCUUUCAUCAGUUCUUCUUUCACUAUCUGUCUCCAAAACCUUUCAUCAGGUCUUUUUUGUUGUUGUUGUUCCUUGUGCAUGUGAGGCAAGCACCCUACCAACUGAGCUAUACACAGCCCUGUCAUCUCAGAUUUUAAUGAAACUUCAUCCUCAUUAAAAGCUCACUCUCCCUCCCUGCAGCCCUAUAACUUUCAUUGUUUCCUCUGCUGUCUUAGGCACCUCACAAACGUGGAUUCCUACACUACUUGUUCUUUUCUCCUAGCAUAAUGUUUUCAAGAUUCAUCCAUGUUGUCACAUGUAUCAGGACUUAAUUACUUUUUAAUGGCUGAACAAUAUUCCAUUGAAUGGAUAGACCAUGUUUGUUUAAACAUUCAUUUGUUGAUGAACACUUGACUUGUUUCCACCUUUUGGCUGUUGCUAUGAAUUUUGGUGUACAAGUAUCUGUUUGAAUCCCUGCUUUCAAGUCUUUGGGGUAUAUAACCACAAGUGGAAUUGCUGGGUCACAUGAGGAUUCCAUGUGUAGUUUUUUGUAAGAACCACUGUCCUGUUUUCUGCAAUGACUAUACCAUUUUAUGUUCCC